Molecule: ribosomal RNA, 115 nt
Filed under: Candidatus Woesearchaeota archaeon
Lineage: Archaea; Nanobdellati; Candidatus Woesearchaeota
Source: RNAcentral
GUGGACGGUCAUAGUGGCUGGGUUCCACCUGUUCCCAUUCGAACACAGAAGUUAAAACAGCCGACGUUCCUGUGUGUACUGUACUCUGUACGGGAAAUCAGGAUCGCUGUCCACA